RNAcentral lists this ribosomal RNA (468 nucleotides) under uncultured bacterium. RNAcentral describes it as "partial 16S ribosomal RNA". It matches the Rfam family "Bacterial small subunit ribosomal RNA", at positions 28 to 507 of the family's 1533-position model. The record is from RNAcentral.
GACGAACGCUGGCGACGUGCUUAACACAUGCGAGUCGAACGGAAAGGCCCUGCUUUUGUGGGGUGCUCGAGUGGCGAACGGGUGAGUAACACGUGAGUAACCUGCCCUUGACUUUGGGAUAACUUCAGGAAACUGGGGCUAAUACCGGAUAGGAGCUCCUGCUGCAUGGUGGGGGUUGGAAAGUUUCGGCGGUUGGGGAUGGACUCGCGGCUUAUCAGCUUGUUGGUGGGGUAGUGGCUUACCAAGGCUUUGACGGGUAGCCGGCCUGAGAGGGUGACCGGCCACAUUGGGACUGAGAUACGGCCCAGACUCCUACGGGAGGCAGCAGUGGGGAAUAUUGCACAAUGGGCGGAAGCCUGAUGCAGCAACGCCGCGUGCGGGAUGACGGCCUUCGGGUUGUAAACCGCUUUCGCCUGUGACGAAGCGUGAGUGACGGUAAUGGGUAAAGAAGCACCGGCUAACUACGUG